RNAcentral lists this non-coding RNA (204 nucleotides) under Anaeromyxobacter sp. Lineage: Bacteria; Pseudomonadati; Myxococcota; Myxococcia; Myxococcales; Anaeromyxobacteraceae. The record is from RNAcentral.
UGAAGUAGAAAUGCUUCGGGUGCCCGCACAGGGCAUAACAGGGAAGCCGGUGCGAAGCCGGCGCGGUCCCGCCACUGUAAGUGGGAAGCCGCUUCUCGAAGCCACUCGGCGAUGUCCGGGGAAGGCUGAGGCGGCGUGAGAGGUCGGGGAUCCGGCCUUUUCGAACCCACGAGCCAGGAGACCUACCCGAAGCCGAGGAGCCCG